This 374-nucleotide ribosomal RNA is filed under the name uncultured organism. RNAcentral describes it as "partial 16S ribosomal RNA". It matches the Rfam family "Bacterial small subunit ribosomal RNA", at positions 527 to 896 of the family's 1533-position model. The record is from RNAcentral.
GUAGGUGGCAAGCGUUGUCCGGAACUUAUUGGGCGUAAAGCGCGCGCAGGCGGUCCUUUAAGUCUGAUGUGAAAGCCCACGGCUCAACCGUGGAGGGUCAUUGGAAACUGGGGGACUUGAGUACAGAAGAGAAAAGCGGAAUUCCAAGUGUAGCGGUGAAAUGCGUAGAGAUUUGGAGGAACACCAGUGGCGAAGGCGGCUUUCUGGUCCGUAACUGACGCUGAGGCGCGAAAGCGUGGGGAGCAAACAGGAUUAGAUACCCUGGUAGUCCACGCCGUAAACGAUGAGUGCUAAGUGUUAGGGGGUUUCCCGCCCCCUUAGUGCUGCAGCUAACGCAUUAAGCACUCCGCCUGGGGAGUACGGCCGCAAGGCUG